GUGACCAGAGAAUUUCAGAGGGAUUUUCGGGCUGAACUGAUGGGGAAUCCAUUUUGACGACAGCUGAGAAGUGAUGCGAUACCAUUGAUUUUUUUCCUUCACAACAAAAGGAAGAUUCUCAAUUAGAGGUGGUACAGAAUCUGAUUCCACCAACAUGAGUUUCCAAGCCCUAGCUCUGCACAAGGUGAAGGUUAUCUGGAGUCAUUCCACAAUGCCCUGUUGAAAAAUACCCUAAAGUGGGGGCAUUUUGGGUACACCAGCAUGAGGGAGCGGACACACCUUGCGAUUAUGGAGAACAACAAGAUUGCGGGACAGAAACCAGCAAGGAACA
Coregonus clupeaformis (lake whitefish) is the source of this 331-nucleotide long non-coding RNA. RefSeq lists it as uncharacterized. The record is from RefSeq and is a predicted model, not a curated record. NCBI's taxonomy places the organism in Eukaryota, Metazoa, Chordata, Actinopteri, Salmoniformes, Salmonidae. The transcript has 3 exons.